ACGGAUAAGCCGAUGCUAAGAAAGUUUUUAGAAUAAUCAUUAGAUUAAACUCAAACGCUUUGUUGCCGUAUUUGCGGAAUUCCGAGUCCGGUGUCUUAAGCGUAUUACACUCGAUUCCGAAAGCACAGGUGCCAAUCACAUCUGUCGUAAACCGACCUAGCACAUCCUUCAUCUCAAUAUCCGGCUGACGAUAGUUUUCUUCCAUAUACUUGUCCAGCUCAAGUGCCACAUCCCAUAAUGUACCAAACAUUUGCUUCAUGCGACCUGAGGUGAACGUCGGCGUGAGCUUCUGACGCAACAAGCGCCAUGGGUUACCUUCCAACC
Molecule: long non-coding RNA, 324 nt
Organism: Anopheles funestus (African malaria mosquito)
Lineage: Eukaryota; Metazoa; Arthropoda; Insecta; Diptera; Culicidae
Exons: 3
Source: RefSeq, a predicted model, not a curated record